CGGGAUUGGCAUAACAGGAUUUAGUCAGUUCACCAACAUCUUUGAAAGAACCUUAUAUGGAACUGUACAUAGGCUAAUCGACCUAAAUUGAGAGAUAAGCUCCGACCUCACUUUAGAGAUAAGCAUUAUCAAAGUCCUGUUAAGAAAAGGAUCGACGCUACCUCCCUCAAAAACCUUUAGGACUAUGGAUACAAGUGAUUCACCAAGUAUACUCCACUGGCUUUGAUAGAACUG
RNAcentral lists this long non-coding RNA (234 nucleotides) under Gossypium barbadense (sea-island cotton). Its description in RNAcentral is "long non-coding RNA (GBAR_LNC009190)". The record is from RNAcentral. Lineage: Eukaryota; Viridiplantae; Streptophyta; Magnoliopsida; Malvales; Malvaceae.